CAAAUAUAUAUUGUAUAAAUUUUUGAUACAUAUUUCAGAACGUGCAACGGGUGCUCAACACACAAGAAAAAAUAUAUUUCAUGCUAUUAUGUGUCGGCACACAAAAGGUUUUUUGACUGGCACACAUCGGCACUGCUCGACACGCACCGUGCCGUACCGUGCCGGUAAGUUUCCAGCAUGACCCCAUGCCACGGCACUUAAAUCCUUGACUGGGAUACGUAUAACUUCAGAAAUAAGCAUGAACAUUAUCAAUUUUGUAUUUGGAUUAAAAAAAAAAACUGGAUUAAUCCUACGAAUAAGAAAAAUAGCAUUUGGAUGGUUAGAUUGCAAUAUAAAAAAUAAGAAUAAUUAUAAGUUUAAAAUAAAAUUAUUUUAUCUAAUUAAUUAAUUUUACCUAAUUAAAUAAUAAUUUAAUAAAUUAAUAAAUUUUUAACUAUAAAUAUUGUAUAAGAN
This 453-nucleotide long non-coding RNA is filed under the name Ananas comosus (pineapple). RNAcentral's name for it is "long non-coding RNA (ACOM_LNC044587)". Lineage: Eukaryota; Viridiplantae; Streptophyta; Magnoliopsida; Poales; Bromeliaceae. The record is from RNAcentral.